UGCAGUCGAGCGAUGAAGCACCUUCGGGUGUGAAUUAGCGGCGAACGGGUGAGGAACACGUGAGAAAUCUGCCUUCAACUCUGGGAUAACUCCGUGAAAACGGGGCUAAUACCGGAUAUGAGAUCUACAGGCAUCUGUGGAUCUGGAAAGUUUUUCGGUUGAAGAUGAUCUCGCGGCCUAUCAGCUUGUUGGUGAGGUAAUGGCUCACCAAGGCGACGACGGGUAGCCGGCCUGAGAGGGCGACCGGCCACACUGGAACUGAGACACGGUCCAGACUCCUACGGGAGGCAGCAGUGGGGAAUAUUGCACAGUGGGCGAAAGCCUGAUGCAGCAACGCCGCGUGAGGGAUGAAGGCCUUCGGGUUGUAAACCUCUUUUAGCAGGGAAGAAGCGAAAGUGACGGUACCUGCAGAAAAAGCACCGGCUAACUACGUGCCAGCAGCCGCGGUAAUACGUAGGGUGCAAGCGUUGUCCGGAAUUAUUGGGCGUAAAGAGCUCGUAGGCGGUUUGUCACGUCUGCUGUGAAAAUCCGAGGCUCAACCUCGGACUUGCAGUGGGUACGGGCAGGCUAGAGUGCGGUAGGGGAGAAGGGAAUUCCUGGUGUAGCGGUGGAAUGCGCAGAUAUCAGGAGGAACACCAAUGGCGAAGGCACUUCUCUGGGCCGUAACUGACGCUGAGGAGCGAAAGCGUGGGGAGCGAACAGGAUUAGAUACCCUGGUAGUCCA
Molecule: ribosomal RNA, 724 nt
Filed under: uncultured Actinomycetes bacterium
Lineage: Bacteria; Bacillati; Actinomycetota; Actinomycetes
Description: bacterial SSU rRNA
Rfam family: Bacterial small subunit ribosomal RNA
Source: RNAcentral